UACGGAGGUGGCGAGCGUUACUCGGAAUUAUUGGGUGUAAAGGGCAAGUAGGCGGUUUGUUAAGUGAGGGGUGAAAUCUUCCGACUCAAUCGGGAAACUGCCUUUCAAACUGACAGACUUGAGUGUGGAAGGGGGAAAUGGAAUUCGCGGUGUAAGGGUGAAAUCUGUAGAUAUCGCGAAGAACACCAGCGGUGAAGACGGUUUCCUGGUCCAUAUCUGACGCUGAAUUGCGAAAGCUAGGGGAGCAAACAGA
RNAcentral lists this ribosomal RNA (253 nucleotides) under uncultured bacterium. RNAcentral's name for it is "partial 16S ribosomal RNA". It matches the Rfam family "Bacterial small subunit ribosomal RNA", at positions 524 to 776 of the family's 1533-position model. The record is from RNAcentral.